Long non-coding RNA from Mus musculus (house mouse), 1806 nucleotides. RefSeq annotates it as predicted gene, 21123. NCBI's taxonomy places the organism in Eukaryota, Metazoa, Chordata, Mammalia, Rodentia, Muridae. The transcript is spliced from 4 exons. The record is from RefSeq and is a predicted model, not a curated record.
AUCAACCUCCUCUGCGAUCUCCUGGGGGAAUUCCCGUUGGAGAGGAGGGCAGACUGACCGCACACUAUGCCAACCAUAGUAAGAACUCACUGCCCAUCAGACGCAUGGAUGAGAACUUUACAUAUAAUGACGCAUUUAAUCAGCCACCGUUCUGAUGAGAAACUUACUUGAUUUCCAAUUUUAAACAUGAAGAAAAAGAGUGGCCAAAGGAACGAUCAAGUUCUCAUAACUAUUGAAGCCUCAACUUCAGACCAUCGCAGUGAGUAACGGAGACAGAAACCAUGUGCUUAAUGGAUUUGAUAUUUCAUCAUAUGUUCACCUCUUUAUCAUGGAACAAGUCAGCCAAUAAAAAGUGUAUGUAUUCACAGCAUAUAGCAUGAGGUUUGAUCUAAGAGUACAUUGUGGAAUGGCUACAUCAAACAAAUCAUCCAACGUGGAAAGAAUGACCUAAAUCAACGCAGAUGUCAUUCAUCACCCAAUCUUGGAAGCCACCACUGCUGUCACACCCCAUCACAGCUAUCACAGAGGCCAGCCCUACCAAAUGAAGGGCAGCAUGCACAGGGUGUGGGUAAGGAAGAAGAGAUGACAUGAGCCGCCUUGGAUGUCGGCCACCACACACUCUCUACCCUCCCUCCAUCUCUACCCUCCAGUCUUGCUUGAGAGGAGCCCACCUUUCUCCAUGGUCAAAGAAGAAAGAACUUUAAAGGUCUCAAAAUGGGAACUAAGCCCAGAUAUGCGUGCUUGAAUGAUGAUAACCAGCGAGAGCAGCCACCAUCUUGAACGACGUCCACACCACUGGCAGGAAGAGAGUCCUGGAAGGCCCUGCACUAGCGAUGAAAUACUCUGGCCCGGGGAUGAUGUAUGUCCCUCCCAUGCACAAUCCACCAGCCAUAAAUUGUCACUCUGUCUCCAGCGAGCCACAGGGAGCCAAGAAGAGCAAUCCUGUCACGUGCCUGGAAGAGGAGAAAGCUGGAAAUAGUUGGCAAACAAGACUCAUGACUCUUCAGCCUAAGAGAGCAAAACUGCAGAGAGGCAAAGGAGGGGUGGAGCUUGCGAUUUAAAUCCUGGGCAGGAGGAGACUUCUGCAAGGCUGUGCUAAUUCAUUAAUAAUUCCUGAAAACGUUGCCAGUUACUCCCUCUCCCUGGUCAUUCUCUACAGCCUCCUCAUGCCAGCCUAAAGACUAAAGAUCGCCUGAGUACUCUGCCUCAAGUUUGGGGGUCUCCUUUACUUCUUCUCACUCUUUACCCAACACCCCACCCUCACCUCUCCAUGGUGAGGGUGACUUGAGGAGUUCAUGGACUUGAGGUCACAUGCUCCACCAAUUUCAUCUUCCAGAGAACCACCCAGUCCCCCGGGAUCCUUAAAGGCAGCCCCCAACCCACUUCACAGAGAUGGGCUAUAACCUCUAGGCCUACCCUGACCACUGACCCUGGUUCUUAGUAGGCCCAGUUAAGCCAAGCUCACAUCAGCCUGAAGACCUGCUGACUCCAAUUCUCUCCCUUUUGAGUAGAUGCUCAACUCCUAGGAAUCUCAAGUACUUACACACACUACUUGGCCCAGUCUCUUUUAUCCAGGCCAAAGCAUCCAUCUCCCCAGAAGGCCUUCCCCAAGGGACCUGGGGGUGGUUGUGACAUGUGCCUUGUAACACAAUCUUGUCUUGCUGUAGACUCCAUAGGAGCGUGCAGUUUUGUUCAUGUUCUCAUAUGUCCUAGCUGCUGUGGUUAGAGCAUAUUUUGUUAUUGUCCAGGCAUAAGGCCUCUAUGUGCUCGCUCACAGACUAGUAAACAUCCAUUGUCUAUCAGGGG